RNAcentral lists this ribosomal RNA (267 nucleotides) under uncultured bacterium. RNAcentral describes it as "partial 16S ribosomal RNA". It matches the Rfam family "Bacterial small subunit ribosomal RNA", at positions 95 to 379 of the family's 1533-position model. The record is from RNAcentral.
GCGGCGGACGGGUGAGUAACGCGUGGGAACGUGCCCUUUGCUACGGAAUAGUCCCGGGAAACUGGGUUUAAUACCGUAUGUGCCCUUCGGGGGAAAGAUUUAUCGGCAAAGGAUCGGCCCGCGUUGGAUUAGGUAGUUGGUGGGGUAAUGGCCUACCAAGCCGACGAUCCAUAGCUGGUUUGAGAGGAUGAUCAGCCACACUGGGACUGAGACACGGCCCAGACUCCUACGGGAGGCAGCAGUGGGGAAUCUUAGACAAUGGGGGCA